GGUUAAAAUAUAGUGCAAUCUAGAAGCCUUGCAUUUCCAUUGAGAAGAGAAGUUUAAGUUGAACUUUAAUAUGCGAAGUUGUUAUCAAAGUCGAAUGAACAGAAAUUCAACUCGAAAUUUAAGUUGCUAGCUAUCAUCUUUGAGGGAGGAAGACAAAUCCAAAUUGGACUAGCCUGUGAAUCCCAGGAUUUUCGACACACAUAUAUACAGUCAUAUAUGGUUAUAUUAUAUUUACAUAUUUAUAUGUAUAGAGCAGCUAGGUUAAAAAAAAAAAGGUUUAUCGAUUGGGUUUGGGCUAAGCGCACCCAUUUUUCUUUUCCUGAUCCUUCUCCACCGCCCUCUUCAUUUCUUUCAGGUUUUAUUUAAUUGAUUUUUGCAGCAUUUUGGGGAUUUUGUGCCUUUGACCAGAAACAAAAGCAGAGAGAGAAAGAGAGCUCUGCCUAGGAGGAAACAGAGUAGAGAGGGAGAACGUCAGCUCGAUUGAGAGCUCGGGCUGGGGUUUAUGGAAGAGGGGGAAGAAUCGAAGAAUCGAGAGGAUAAUUGGGGCAUGGCAACUGAGAGUGUAGUAAGAGAGGGAGAGAGUGAGCGAGCCGCAAGAGAGAGCGAAAGGGAGCGAAGAACAGAGAGUCCGGAAUAGAGCUCACUCAAGGAGGAACGGGACUCCGAGGGGAACGAGACUGUGAAGGUUGAGAGUAUAUGGAGAGUAAGCGCUGGAGCUGAGAGUAAGAAAUGAUUUCAAAGGGGAAGAGCUCAGCUGGUACCAAAUUAGAUUAUGGGUAUGCUUUGGAAUUGAGGAGGCUGAGCGGCAUUGCAUCUUGAAGACUCAAGUGGGUGAAUUAUAUUUUUGGGAACUAUCUUCAUGGGACCACUGGACUUGGCGAAUUACAAAAAUGGGCGUGAUCGGCUGCUGGACCCAACAGAAUACAAAUGGGGACCUAAUCAGCCGCUAAUCAGGAGGAAUACAAAUAGGGCUUUGAUCAGCCGCUGGAUUCGGCGGAAUAUAAAUGGGGGUCAGAUCGACUUCUGGAUUCGGCGGAAUAGAAAUAGGGAUCAGAUCGGCCGCUCGGCCCGAUGGAAUAUAAAUAGUGGUUAACUCUUACCACUAGAGGUUAGCAAGGGAUUCUUCCUUCAGCAUGAAAUUCACGGACAAAACCAAAGUUAUUAGAUGGAUCAAGUCCGCAAGGUUCUGGAAAGUCACCAUUGGUGAGCAAUUGUCAUAUCAAUUGAGCUUGACGGAAGCUCAAGGAAGGUCUGAAGAGCCUUGAGCUCUCUCAAAUGAGUGGUUUGGGGACUUCGUCCAUUCCUCCCAGCUAGAGGCUUUCCAGAUGAAAAAGGCUUUCGAUACCCGCUCAAGGCUCUUAAUUAAGCCUGUCUAGUUUCAGGACCUUUAAGAAGGAUAAAGUUCCCAACUUCAUUAGGAACUCCUCCCUCUAAUGGACAUAUCCAGGAGAGGAGAUCGAUAGAAGCAUGUACGCUUGCCCGGCGGAGGGAGCAUUUCAAGCUUAUUGAAUUCCCAAGAUUACUUGUUAAAGAAGUUAUUUUAGUUGCAUUGAUCUUGGGCACUUCCAAAUUAAUUAGACCUCCAAUAAAAUGAGGCAGUUUCUUGA
Punica granatum (pomegranate) is the source of this 1607-nucleotide non-coding RNA. NCBI's taxonomy places the organism in Eukaryota, Viridiplantae, Streptophyta, Magnoliopsida, Myrtales, Lythraceae. The record is from RefSeq and is a predicted model, not a curated record.